RNAcentral lists this long non-coding RNA (25822 nucleotides) under Vitis vinifera (wine grape). Its description in RNAcentral is "long non-coding RNA (VVIN_LNC005643)". The record is from RNAcentral. Lineage: Eukaryota; Viridiplantae; Streptophyta; Magnoliopsida; Vitales; Vitaceae.
UGCGUAGAGUUACGAUAAGAAGGGACAAAACUUGAACAAUGAGCGCACAUAUAAUCCCCAACCAGAGGCCCUAAUCCAAACAUUUUAACAGACAAGAUUACAUGAAAUCACUUGCUUCAAGUUAAUUGGAGACGACAAAAAACGUAUUCUAGUAAAAGGGAGAAUGGUGAACUCUUACCCUGCCUCCAAUGUGGAAGACAAAAGCUAAUAAAAUAGCACACGGAAUUCCCACAAGAUAAUAUGAUCCUAGAUUGACAAAGGCACCAAUCUUCUGCCAACCGCAUCCUCUAGCAGUGCCUAAAUGUUCAGGAACAAUAAAAUUAGCCGCUACAGUCUACAUUCAAGUUCUGCAGAAGAUCAUCUUCAAUAUUCCAUUCAGUUGAUGGAGAUUAUAUUCUAAGUGCAAAGUGAUUGUGUUUUUUGUGACAACAAAAAUGUGUUUUGUUUAGUGGUAAAUGUUGACAUUACUUCAAAUAUUGAGUAAUGAGCACAAACAUUAUCAAAUAAAAGGUGGUGGUUUGUCUGUUUUCUUAUGGUCUGGAGCCUUAAAGAAAUGGAUGAUAAUUAUACUAGUCGUAGAUGAAAGUCAAGAAAACCUGAAAGGACACACUGCAUUCCAUCUAGGAAGUUGGAUAAUGCAACAAUUGGCAUCAUGGCUGCUACAUAUUUGACCACUUCUAUUUCAUUGCUGUAGGCAUAGCCCCAGAUGUUCCUUAUCAAUAUCAGAAGUAGUCCAAGGAGAGUGCCUUCAGCUAUGGCCAUGACUAAGACGACAAAUACUGCUAAACGUGCAGCUUGUGGAUGCCCUGCCCCAAGUUCAUUUGAGACCCUUGUGCUGUACAGAGAAAUGAAGAAUACAUGCAUCAAAUCAAAGUUGUGGGAGGCAUGGUUUUGAGUUUCCAUUACAACAUCAAGUUCACUUGUGGUUGAAAUCAAGAUGAUAUCCUACAAAUUAAUUAGUUGACUUUUUUGUAAACCAAGUAUGGGAAUUUUGGCUCUGAAUCAAGUCCUAGCCGUUAAUGUUAAAAAGUUCAAUGUUGAAUACAUGUUCAAUUUAGACCGACUUACCUCACAGCUCCACUGAGUCCAAAGGGGAUCAUCCAAACUGUUGCAGCAGUAUUAAGGCUGGGAAACAAAUGUGUUCCAUUAAGAUCAGACUAUAAUGUGGGGUUGUACAUAAGAAAUCAAUAAAACUCAAUGGAAAUCAAGAAAAUCCUAAGAAAUGAAGACAGAUAAUGUUGGGAUUCAACACUCACCAGAUCGAAAGCACUGAAGUCUGUAACUUUGGAUUAGGAAGGAGACCAGAUAGAAGAACCAUCAGCUCAAAUGACCACAUUUCCAAGCUGUUCAAUUUUAUGGAAAUAAACUGCAUUCAAAUCUUUAGACACAUUGAAUACAAAUCACGAUAAUGAGACUGUUUCAUAGUAGAGGAAGAUAAAAUGAAUUUUCCAGAUGUUUUUGUUAUCUUCUUGAAAGCAUAAGAAAUGGAAAUUUACCAGACCAUAACAGCAGAAGGAAUAGCAAGUCUAAGAAAACUCGGGAUAUUAUGCAGGGCCUCCUUUGAAAAUCCAGUCCUAGUUUUCGAGCAAGAAGAAGAGAAUUUAACAUAUAGUGCCAACAAUAAAACAUUGAUCCAACAGGAGAUGCUAUUUGCCAAAGCAGCCCCUUUACUUCCAAGGCCAGAUUUGAAAACCAGAAACCAGCACACCAGAACAUGCAGUAAGGUUGUGAUUCCAGAGCUUAGCAUCAUUGGGAAGACUAUGUUUUGGGUUUGCAAGAAUCUGACAAGGCACUGAAGGAGGCCAUAGGCAAAGAGGCUCGGGAUCAUGAAACGGGCAUAAAGUUCGGCUUCUUGUGAUAUCUCAGGAUCUUGGCCCACGGCCAUUAGAAUGGUUCCUGUAUAUGCCCAAAUGGUAGCAAGAGGUAUGCUAACAAUUAGAAGAAUAAGCAUGGCCCUCUGCAUGUGUAUACUGAGCAUAUGAUACUGCUUUGCUCCAUAGGACUGCCCACAUAAGGUAUCCAAUGCACUUGCCAUCCCCAUCUAUCCAACCAAAAAGAAAAAUGACAAACAAAUUUUCAGUUCAAGUUUUACUUAGCAAAAGACCCUCCUAAACAGACAAGGAAAAAAAAAAAAAAACACAAAUUGGGUUUACAUGUAGCAUUUAUGCUUCUUCAUUAGGCUGUGAAAGGGCCAAGGGAAGAUAGAUAAUUCAACAUUUUCCCCACUUUUUGGGACUGGAAUGGUUACUACCAACAAAAGAAACUCUUAUGGAAACAAAUUUAAUAGUUCUUGUUAUAGCUGCUUAUUAAUGCAUUCGUCCGGAUAAAUCUUUAUCAUCAAGGAUUUCAAUGGAAAGGCUAAAGGCUUCAUUUCAAUCUCAGGAGAAAACAAGGAAAAUAAAAAGUGCUUAAGAUAACUUUAAAAUAGAUUUUUUUUCCCAAGCCAUCUUCAGAUUUUAAUUUUCCUCCCUUUGUUCUCAACAAAAUAAGAAAAACAGAGCCUACAGCUGUGAUAAACCACUAAGCCCAUCUCUCAAAUCAAUUCCACAAUAACAAAAAUGUAAAAAUGGGCUGAAAAUUGCAGAGCCCAUUAAAGGAAAAAUCAUAUAAGCGAUUACAGCCAAGAAAAUCAAGUCUACACCUGUCCUUACUGAAGUAACCAAGUUUACCACUCGUCCUGUGCACAAAACACAGACAAGAAAUCAUUAUACCCAUUACUCAAAACUAUACAACAUUCCCUAAACGAAAGGCAAAUCACAUAAAUUGAAUAGCACAACAGUCCCACCAAGUUCGAGAUGUAUAUCCACCCUCCACGCUCAUAGAUUUCUAUAUUACAGAGAAAACAAGCGAGAGAAAAGAAACCCAACUCACCAACAAGCUGGACCCAGUGACAGAAGCAAAGGAAGUAGCCAUUGAAGCACCAGAGAGAGCUAACUCACCCAGAUGACCCACAAACAUCACAGAUAUCAGCUGCAAACAAUACUGCAAAAGGCUGACAGAUAUCAAAGGUCCUGCCAACCACAGCUGCUUCUUCACUUCUUCUACUACCUUAUCUCUCUGAAAAACCUUCCCUUUGCUUCUCUCUCCACCAUCUUCUCCACAGCUUUGGAUCAGAGGAGACCUCAGAGUUGGCUUCUCAUCCCCUCUAUCCAUCUUCUCCUUCACACACACUCGCAGAGGAGAAGGCCAAUUCAGCGGUGCCUAUUGCUCUAUAAACAAUCGAAAUCUUGUAAUGCCUAAAAUGCCCAUACAUUGAAUGGUAAAAGGUUAGAAUUAUUUGAAUGUGGCAGUCUGUGAUUGGCUAUAUUUUGGAGGUACAGGCCAAAAGCAGUGGGGCUGGUUCCAUAUGAUUGUCCAAAUACAUAAUAAUUUAGAAAAAGACAAAAGAUGAAGAGGGCAGCUACCAUAUUUGACUGUUGGAAGGCUCUGACUCACAGUAAUAAAUAGAUAUUUAUAUAUAUUGGGGAAAUGAUACUAAUUAUCGAGGGAGAGGGAGAUUUUUGGAAAGGAAAAAAAAUUGUCCAGUCCAAUCAUGGUUGGUGGUGCACAAAAUGUUAAUGUUGAGUCAGGAAAGAAAUAGGGAAUAACCAUGUACCACCUACAAAAAAACGUGAGAUUUUAAAACUUUACAUUUUUUCUUUUUUUAAUUUUAGUGUAAAAUGGGAAAAGAUAUCACUUAAUCAGGCAUUGCUUUCAAAUUUAUUUCAUAAUUAUCCUCAAAAAGUAAAGGACAAAGUACUUUUAUUAUUUUUCUCUCCUUAAUAUAUCUCCCUUACCAUUUGCUAUCUUCCCAUUUUUUUCUUUUUUUUUCCCUCUGUUGCUACCAUAAUACAUUGUCACAUAUUAUAGUUUUUUUUACUAUUUUUAUUCUUUUACUUUAUAUAUAUAUUUAAUAUGCUCAUGUAUCUUCUUAUAAAAUUUCUUUAAUUUAAAUUUAUUUUUACUCUCUAAUUUCUCCAUAUUUAUUGAUUUUAAUUUUUAUUUACGUAUUAAACUUAAAAUGAUAAUAUAUAAUAAAUAGUUAAUAUAACAAAUGAAAUAAAAACAAAAAUAUAUAAUGGAUAAAAAUGAAAAUACUCUCCCACAAAUAAUAUAUUUGAUGACUUUAAAUAAUAAUUAUAUUAAUACAUUUUAUUACUUUAUCCUUUACUUUUAAGGGUAAUUGUAGAAUAAAUUUGAAAACACCAUUAGAGUGCAUGAAUAGAUAAUAUUUUUUUUUGAUUUUACACUAAAAUUAGAAAGGAGAAGGUAAAGUUCUAAAAUCUCAUAUUGUUUGUAGUUGGUGUAUAACCAUAUGAUUUCCUCAAACAAAUAUCCAUGAUGGCAAAACCAACUAUUUCAACUUAUUGGUAUACUCCUGAUAUCACAAUCAUAUAUUUUGAGGACAUGUUUAUUGUUAUAACGUCCCAACUCGUCGUAUGACCACAUUUUAUAAGUUGUUAGAUGUGUGCUUAUUCCAAAUGUUUCUACUUAGUUACAUCGAAUGGUUUCAAAUGAAAAGAUACUAAACUCGAACCUGAAUGAAACAAACCGGAUGUCCAUCACAAUAGAGCCCGAGUGUUUAUAUACACAAUAAUUUUGGUUUUGCUAAAAAAAGAACAUUACUCUAUAAAUUCAAAUUAAUUUUUUUUACAACUUAUUAAAUUUUGUGAGAUACAAAUUAACAAAAUAUCAUUCAAACUUUAUUUGAUUGAAGAAAAAUUAAGCUGAUAUGUUUUUUUUUUUUAAAGAGUUAUUUGAUUAAAGGAUGAAACCAUCCAAUUUUGUAAAUUUAAUCUUCGACUUUUUUCAACCCUAAAAAUACCCAUUUUGGAUAAAAAUGCCCUCAAUUUUUUCUUUUAAAAAUGACCAUUUUUUUUAAAUACACAUGUAAAUAAUCACUAUAUUGAGGAGCAUUUAUGUCAAAAAAAUGUUACUUAUUAAUACAAAAAAUAAAGGAGGGUAGAUUUACAAAAUAUAAUUUUUUUUAUCCCUUUUAAUAAAUUAAUUAAAAAAAAAUGAUAUGUUGACACUGUUAGAUGAUAUGUUUUUAAUGAAAUUAAAGUUUAUAAAUUAUAGUUUAUCUUAAAGCCUGAUUAUACUUGACUAAAAUUUAUUAAACAUGGAAUUGCAUUAGCCUAAAUAAAUUUUAAUAUAUAUAUAUAUAUUAAUUUUCAUAUUAAACUAUUUUGACAAAAUUAUCAAAAUAAGUAAAUUAAGAUACCCUUAUAAAGCUUAAAAACAAUCUUAUAACUUGUUGAAAGCGAUAAUAUAAAUAUGACUUUAUCAUUUAAAAUAAAAUUAAGUGAUAAGUUUUAAGUAAUGAGGCAUUUUAAGUGAUAAGUCAUUAGCCACGAAGUUUUCAAUUUUAUAUAAAACUUAAUAAGGUCUAACUUUUAACUAAAGUAAAAGUUAGAGUAUGUCUACAAAUUAUAUUAUAUUACUAGUUAUCUUUUUUCCAUGAAUAAAAGAAGAAAAAGAAUAAACUUCACUUGCAUGCAGUCAAAUUAAGUCUAAUAUUUAAAGUAAGAUUCAAUAGCUUAUGAUAAUUAAGUUUUGUCAUUUUAUUUGAAAUGCAUGGACAGUAUGUUGCUAUUUGUUCGUCUCUUUGUGGUUUAAUUCUUGGAAUCUGUGGACUAAAAAAUAGUGAUAGUGAAUGGUGAUGACUCCUCAUAUGAUCAUAUCUUGUCAUUAUUGGAUAAAUGUCUAAAUUGAAUUCAACUUGAUGGCAAAAACAAGAGUAGUAGUUGGGCAUGUGAAGGCUUUUUCUAAGGCAAGACACCUACUUGAGCUGCAAGAAUGGCUUUCUGUCUAAGUAGACUAUAAGUUGAAUUUAAUAUGAAGCAGCCAGACAUGGACUUCUAGUAUUUAAAAAAAUAUCCACAAUGAAAAUUGCUUCUAUUUUAAUGGCAUAGUAAGAAAGAGUUCCGUGUUUGUUUUAUUUAUUGUAUGACGAUUUGAUUUUUUGCCCCUAUUUCAAUAAUGUCAACAUUAUAUUUGACAAAAAAAAAAAAAAAAAAAAUUAGAGUAAGUGUAAAGUAGUGGACUGAGAUUUGAUGUUAUGACUGUAUGGCUCAAAUCAAGUAAGAACUUGUUAAUUAAUUCUAUAUAUAAUUUUCAUAAUUUCUGGCAUCUCUUAUUUAUUUAGAACCCUUUUACUCAUAUAUAUAAAGAUUUUCAAAGCUUGAUUUUUAUAGAUAUAUUCAUAGUUGGAUUUAAAAAAAAAAAAUCGGUGUGACAUAAAUGAUGAAAACUCAUCAAAAAAUUAGAGAAUAUUAAAAAAAUGAUAAAAAAAAAAUAAUACAUAUUUAAAUUAUUUUAUUGAAAAAAAAUUAUAUAUAUAAUUUGUGCAAUAUUAAGUAAUAAUACAUGAAACUUGAAAACAUAUUUUUAGAUAUUUAUUUAAUUUAAAUGUAUUCAAAGGUAAAAAAAAAAAUGGUGAUAUAUUUAUGAUUUUUUUUAAAAUGUUUAUAAUUUUAUUUUCAAAUUUAUAUUUAUCUUAUAUUCAAUUAAUAUAUAAAGAGAUUAAAAAAGGUUUGAUAAUGGUUUUUAUAUUUUAAUAAUUAAUGAAAUGAGAUUUGAAAUAAUUAAUGAAAUGAUAUUUGAACAUAAGAUAAUUAAAAUUAAUUUAUUAUUAAAAUUUCAUUUCAAUAUUUUUAUUUUCUAGGAAUGUAUUAAAAUGUAUAAUCAUUUCUACAAUUUUUUAAAAAAAAAUAAGAAAUCAACUUCAGUAUAUAAUUAAUGUUAGCAGUAAAUAAGGGUGGAUUUGCUCAAAAAUAAAAUGCCUGAAAUAUCCACAAAAAAUCUGCAAAGCUAUAUCAACUUUUCUAUUCAAAUAUUUUUCCGGUGAGCAGCAAUAAUCGAAAUUUUUGGCCACCAAUAACCAAAAUUUCUAUGAAAUAUUCACAAUAUUUUCUGAAAUUUUCAUCCUUAGUGAAACCAAAAGAUUGUGAUUAUUUCCAUGAAAACCUACACUUUAAAAAAAGACUUUAAAAUUGAUUUUGAAAACCAUUUCCAAGAACAACUCAGAUGUUAAAUAGCAGUUAUUUUAAGAAAUAAUACAUAAAUUAAUGAAAGUACAAGAUUAUGAAACAAUUUGAGGUUAUUAAUGAUUCAGGUUUUGAUUACACUAACUGAAAUAUCAAAUUUUAGUUUCCUCCAAUAUUUAUACUUUAGUAACAUAUUUCAAUCACAAUUUCUUUGGUAUUAUUAUUAUAAUUGCCAAGAAACUGAAACUGUUACUGCAAUAUAAGUAGUUGUAAUCCCAUCAGAAAAUUGUGAUUCUGAUGAAAAAUAAGUUUGACGUGGGUGGGUGAGUAUGUAUGAUAAAGUAGAGGAGGUUUGUAUGAUGGACGCUGUCCUUAUAAAUAAUAUUCAUCAUGAGUAUGUAUUAUUCAUCAAGAGUAUGUCUAUAAAAUUUUGAAAAUUAAAAUCAAAAUAGAGAAAGGGGAACAAAAUAUAAAAAUUGCAUACUUAUUUCUUAAGGCUCAUACUUAUUUUCUCUCUUACCCUCUAUUUAUAUAAAACUCAAUUACAAAACCAUGGUGUUGAGAUUUAUCAUCUCAUAUUGAAAUUUAGAUCCUCGAAUUUAAUAUAUAUAUAUAAUUUUAUGAUUAAAUAAAGUUAUUUAUUAUAUAAAUAAAAGAAAUAACUAGUUUUUUUAAUUAAAAAUUAUCAUUUAUUAAAAAUAAAAUAACUCUUAUUUUCUCCUAACCUUUUACCAUAAUUACCAACUCCUUCUCUCUUUUUUAAGGAGUUCUUUGCUUUUACUUGAUGUAAAUAAAAAAAAAAUGUGUCAAACUUAAUAACUUAAGAAAAAUUAAUUUAAUUUUACUAAACAAUUUUAAGGUUCGUGUUAGGAUCUUGACAAGUACUUAAAAAAAAUUGUUAUUCUUAUAUUUGGUUUUACUAUAAAAAAAGAAGAAGAAAGAAAAUCAAAUAUAAAUAAAAUUAGUUUAAAAUUUUUAUAUUUUAAAAUUAUUUAAUGUUUAUAUAUAGUAGUUAAAGUAAAUGAAACGAGUUUCAAAUAUUAUAUAAAAAUAAUUUAUUGAAUUUAAAUAUAUUUUUUAUUUAUUUUUUUCUUCUACUUUUACUCUUUAUUUUAUUUCUCUUAAAUUUUAUGAAAGUCAAAUAUAGCUUAAUGGUUUUUAUUGUUAUUAGUUGAGUUGAAGCUAAAAUUAUAAUUUUAAUGAGUAUUAUUGGUAUUAUAAAAAUUUUAUUCAACAUAAAAUUUAUAUUAACCUAAAUAAAAUUUAUAAUAAAAUUUUUACAUUCAUAUUAAACUAUUUUAACAAAAUAGGUAAUUUAGUUGAACUUAAAAACAAGCUUAUAUACUUCUUAAAAGUUAAUACACAUAUGACUUAUAUUUAAAAUAAAAUUGAAUAAUAAUUUUUAAGUUAUUAAAUUCAACAUCAAUUAAAUUAAAUUUAUUUUAAGUCAUACUAAAUUUUCAACCUUAUAACACAAAAUAUUAAUUUAAGAUAGCUCUAAAAUAAGAGUUAGUCAACUUACAAAUUAUAUCAUUAUACUACUAAUUAUCUUCUAACUACAAAAUGGGGUUGAAGGGACUUAAUAUUGUUGUAUGUCAUGAACCAAAUUCAACUCAAAUUUAUUUGAACCUUAUUUGACUGAGAAAAAUAAUGAUAAGUUAUUAAACCAACGCUUCAUGAUAUGAUUUUGAUAAAAUUAUGAUUUAUAAAUUACAUUUUAUCAAUAAAAGAAGAAAAAAAAAAUUAAACUUCUUGCAUGCAUCCAAAUUAAGUGGUUGUAGAUUCAACUCUUCAUGACAAUUGAGUUUUGUCAUUUUAUUUGAAAUGUGUGGACAAUAUGCUGUUGCUUCCUUUUAUCUCUUUGUGGGUUCCUGGAAUGUGUGGAUUAAAAAGAAAAGAAAGUGAUGGGUGAAGAUGGUGCUUCCUCACAUCUUCUCAUUAUUGGGUAAAUGCCAAAUUCAAUUACACAUAUAGUGAUAGGAAAAACACAUGUGAAGACACCUUUGGGAUGAAGUUUCAACUUUGACUUUUCAAAUUAGUAUUUUUUUCUAGGCCCAAGGCACUACUUGAUCUCCAAGAAUGGCCUUCCACCACGUAGAUGCAUUGAAUUUAAUAUGAAGUAGCCAUCAUCUACUUUUGUCAUCGUAUGUUAGAAAAAAUGGAAAAAAAAAAAAAGAAUUUUCAUAUUUGAUUUACUAUGAAUAAUAAUUAAAAUUAGUUAAAAGUUUAUAUAACUUUAAAUUAUUUAAUUGAUAUAUAUAAAUAAAUCAAAUGAAUUUUAAGAAGUAUUUAAAGUAAUUUAUUAGUUUUAGAUGUAUUUUUAUUUUAUUUUUGUAUUUUUAAGGAGUACAAUAUUGGUUAUUAUUAAGAAAAAUCUAAAAACUCCCAUAAUGAAAUUCCUCAAUCAAGCCAUGCUGAAAAACUAAAAAAAAAAGGAUUUCUUUAUUUAAUGUUUAUUUUGUAGUGAUUAUAUAAUAGUUUGAUUUUUUUGGUUCGUUCCAAUAAUGCAAAUGCCCUAUUUACACAAAAAUAUGAUAUAGAUUAGAUGUCUAAAUUGCCAUAAGAUUUGAAGUUGAUAAUGGAAGUAUGAAUUUGUUUCCUUAUAUAUGACAAGAGAACUAAAUUGUAUAAAUACUAUUUUAAAAUCUUGUCAAAUAUAAUUCUAAAAAUGAAAUAUUUAAAGAUAUUUAUAUAUGAUGUUUUUUUAUCUUUUAAAUUUCCUCCAAUAUUUCAUUCACAAUCUUUUCUGUAUUAUUAUUAUAAUUGGCCAUGAAGACUGAAAACUGUUAUUGUAAUAUAAAUAGUAGGAUUCUCAUCAGAAAAUUGUGAUUCUAAUAAAAAUAUUUUGGAGGAGUGAGUACUUGGUUUGUAUGAUGGGCAUAGGUGUUGUAUGAAAAAUAUUCAUCAAGCAUUAUUACAAUCAUUUUAAAGUUUUAAGGUGAACAUGCUCUAUAUAUAUUUAAUUACUAGACUGAUAAUUAAUAUUAAAGAUUUGAAUAAAAUUAUGACAAUUGUAAUUACUAGAUUGAUAAUUAAUAUGAAAGAUUUGAAUAAUUCUGAAAUUUGAUAUGGAGGAAGGAAGAACAAAAUAUAAAAAUUGCAAACAUGAACUCAAACUUAUUUUCUAUCUUUCAUCUUGUAUUUAUUUAUAUAAAACUCAAUUGUAAUAAAUAUACUAGUCAUUAAAUGUUUCAUAGCCUGAAUUAAUCAAGUCUAAUAGUCUUUAGUGAUGUCCUUUCAUAGACUAAUUAAUCAUGUAACUUGAUCUUAUUUUCUAAUGAAUAAAAAUCAAAUAAAAGAUAUCAAAAUAAUGGAAUUUGCAUUAUUUUUGUCAUCACUUCCCAUUCCACCUAUAAAGAUAAAUAUGUCAUGAAUUAAUUAAUACUCUAUUAUGAAGUUUUUAAGGAAAUUAUCCAAUUGACAUAUUUUAAAAUAUACAAGUCCGUUUUAUUUAAAUGUAAUUGGGUUAUACUGAGACAACGAUAUGUUUGUAUCGCUAAAAAAUUCAAAUCUUAGGAUGUAAAAUUAUCUAGUGUGAAGAACUUUAAUUUAUUGGAUAAUGGACAAUGAAUUAAUUAAUCAUUUAAUAUAUUACUAGAAUUACCUUCAAGACAAAUCUAUUUUAUUUAUUUUUAAUUAAAUAAUAUAUUUUAUUAAUUAAUUGAAAAAUGGUUAAAAAAACUUCAAAAGGUUUAACUUAAUAAAAUAGAUAAGUAAUAAAACCAAAGCAAAAAAGAAAAAUAACAAAAAAAUGUGAAAGAAUAUAGUCAUAGACUCUAGUAAUUGUGAUUAUGUUACAAAAAUAAAUAAAAUUAAAAGAAUACCAUUCACAUGUACGUCUACAUCAUUCGAACCAACUAGAUUAUGAAUUAUUUUAGAUAUCAAUUUAUAUUUAAUUUUUAUUAUUUAAAUAACAUUAUUUUUGUUCAAAACUUCCGAUGCUCAUGCGACAAGAAGUGGCAUUGGACGCCUAGGCUGCAAAUCGAGACUAAAGCACUCAUAAAAGAAUAUUUGACACACUGGACACGUUUAGCCAAACUUCCAAAAUGUGAAUACAUGAAAAUAUUAGUACCAUCUAAUUGCAUCUUAUUUAAAAAAUUCGUAGAUUUUUGGGAAAAAUACCUAUUUAAAAAAAUUCAAAUUUUUUUUUUAAAAUCACCUCCUAAAAUUGACUUCUAGAUAACUCUAAUAAUAAAAAUGUAAAUAAUCAAUGAAAUUAGAUACUUUCCAUAUAUAUAUAUAUAAUUUAAUUUUUUUUUCCAAUUUUCUUUAAUAUUUUGAUUAUUUACCAUCCAUAUUUAACAAAAUGUUUCUACUAGGAAGAGUGGAAAGAUUGUCUUUUUCAUACACUUGAAAGAAAAAAAAAGACAAAAUAAAAACCAAAUUUUGACAAAUACAAAUUUAAUACAUUUAUUUAAAAAUAAUUAAAAUUUUGUACCCUUUUGAACCAAAUGUAUCAUCUUUAGUAUCCCAUAUAUUACCUUGUUUUGAGAGUGCAUAAAAUUUGAAAAUUAUAUUUUUUUUUAAUGUGUAUAAAGGAGCACACUUUUCCAAAAUUAGAAUAAUUAAUCUUAAAUUGAUUUUAUUCCAAAGUCACCCCGAUGUCUCCUUGCUAUAAUUAACACAAUUUUUUUUUUUUAUAAAUAUUUUAUUAUAAUUAUUCAUUUGAUGUAGAUAAAUGUGUAUUUAUUAUGACUUAUCUUUUACAAUUUUAUUUAAUAUGUUUAAAUUUUGAUAGAUUUAUCAUUGCUAAAAUUGGCCUAUCUAAAUUUAAUCUGUUCAUUACUUUGAACAAUAAUCAUUAGAUUGGUAUUAAACAUUAAAUAAUACAUUGAAAUAAUAUUUUUUUCUUCAUAUUAAUAUUUAAUAUUUAUUUUCAAACUCAUGCUUUUGAUUAAUGUCAACAAUUUUAUCGUACAUAUAUUUUAAUUUCUUACUAGAAAACUAGUUUAAUGUGUAAUUAUUAAUUUUUUUAUAAAGUCUCAUAUUUCAUAUUUUCAGUCAAGUGAAGGUUUUUUUUUUUUUUUUUUCAAUUUUUAUUGAAAUUUUAUGGAAUAUUGAAUAUUUUCAAAGAUAUUUCCUUAAAACCAACUUUUUUAUAUUUUUGCAAAUAUUGAUAUUUUCAUCCUUCUUACAUAUAAGCCAAUCUUUUUAUUCUUACAUUUAUUUUUUUGAUUUUAAAAUAGCUUUACAAUAUUGUUCCCAAAUGGCAAAUUAUGAAAUAUGUCUUCAUAUACUAGUUAUAUUAAUGAUUGCUUUAAUAAAUGGUUUCUGUUUGAAGUCUCGUCUGAUUACGAAAUUUUUGACCAAGUCACGAAAAAUAAAAGUAGCCAUUUGACAAAAACAACCAUGACAAAACUGAAAAAACCCCAUAAAUGCUAAAUUGUCGCCAAAAACUCUAAAAAACGCUUCAACACCAAAACCCAAAACUUUGAAGAAAUAUUGACGAUGUUUUAUGAUAUUUUAUCUUUAUUUAUGAUUCACAAUUUUUUCUUUAAUUUCCUCCAAUAUUUCAAUUUAGUUUCAUAUUUUACACACAAUUUCUUAUUAUUAUUAUAACAAAGAAAAACACUAGUAUUAGAAUAUAAGUAGUUGAAUUAUCACACAAAAAUGGUGAUUUUAAUAAAAAUGUUUUGCAUGUGAGACUUUUUAUGAUAAAAACAAAAUUAUAUGAUAGGCAUGUUUUAUUUGUGUAAAAAACUCACUUUCAUCAUCAUAAAUUUAUAUUGACUUUAAUAAGGGUUUUUUUUUGUUUUUUUUUCAUGUUCAAUUUUCGACACUAGCAAAAGAUUUGAUUAAAAUGCUUGAUUGACUAUACUUCUAAUUAAUUAUAAAAGAGAUUUUAUUGUACCAGACUUUUUUUUUUCUCCGUCAAACCAAUAAUCAUCUUGAUGUUUUGGUACCAUAUACAAUUUUGAAUACUUGAAUUGGAAUUUCAUUAUAUUGGCUUUAGCUCUUAUCAAUAAUAAUUUGCAUUUUGAAAGAGUUUUCCUGAAGAUUAUAUUUUAUCUCACAUGAGUUUUACAUGAAAUUGGUAUCAAAUUUAUAUUUAAUAUAAAAUUACAAAUUGCAUGUACCCCACCUAUCUCUACAAAUAGCCAUAUUCAGAGUAAAUUUUGACUUCGCUUGUCUUUUAGUUGAUUUUUUUUUUAACUUUUAUAUCAAUUUUUUUUUAAAAAACUUAUUUAAUAAAAUGAGUAAAAUUCUUUAAAAUACUAUGUUUGUGAACUCAACCUAUACGACAAUCUGUCGAGAAGUAUGAUAAUUAAAUUAACACAUUGAAAAUGUCGAAGAAAAAUAUAGAUUUGAUUGGUAUAAGUCCUUAGGAGAAAGUUGCUUUGGAUUAAAUGAAUCUUUACACUCUUUUAGUAUUUAAUGAAUUUAAUAUGUGAGUGAUUUAAUCUAUGAUUUUAAGCCUACAAAAGGUUUUAAAAAUGAUUUCGAUAUGGAUCAAGUCCUAUUUGAUUUUCCAAUAUUUUUAUUUUAUAAAGAUAAAAAUUCGACCAUGUGGAGUUAAAUGAUAAUCAAAAGCUUGAUUUUGAGAGGAAUAAAAUCAACAUUUUUUAUAAUAAGUAUUGGACCAAGUGUGGGCUUAAUAAUAACCAAUAAACUUGAAUUUGAUAUAAAUAAAUAUAAAUAUUAUUUAUCAAAAAUAUUUAAUCUUGCAAAAAAUUUCAAAAAGGAAUACUUCUUUUAUAAUAAUAAUACAAAAGUACUUACAAAAGUACAUCCUUAUAAAAAAAUAUUACAGAUUAAUACAAAUUCACCGUAUUGGAGACUUCCCAACAUGCAAAGUAAGAGAGAAAUAUACUUAAUAACUUAAGUUAACUGUAAGGUAAAAUAUACUUAAAUUAUUGAUUUAAAAUUUAUUACUUAAUUUUCACUCUAAUUAUUAAGGUCGUUUGAUAAAAUUAACUUAAAAUUUAUUUUAAAUAAUCAAAUUAACAUAAUUAUCCUCAAAAAAUAUAACUAGAGUGAAUGAAAUCAAGUAACAAUAAAGGUUAUGGAGAGUCAAAAGAGAUAAUAUAAUUAGGGUAAAUGAGGAUAAAAAGAUAAAAUAAAAAUAUGGACUUCAAGAUAAGUUAAUUGUUUUUACCUAUUAUUUAAAUUUGUUUUUUUUACUUUAAGUCAUACCAUUAAAUUAUUUUACCAAAUACGCUUAAUUUACUUAAUGACUUAAAUUAAGUUAUUAAAUUACUUUUAAGUUAUUAAGUUAGUUUCUCAAACACCCACAUAAAGGUAAGGAACAAAAACCAAAGACAUAAUAAAUAUAAGUAGUGAGUAAUUGUGAUUAUCUUACAAAAAUAAAAUAAAAAUUAGAAGAACUCCAUUCACAUUUUGUCCACGAUCAUUCAAACCAACUAAAAUAGGAAUUAUUUUAGAUAUUGUUAUAACAGAAAGUAAUGAAUGUCAUCACAUUAUUAAUUAUAAUAAAUGUUAAUUAAAUAUUAUUUAUGACUUCCAUCAAUAUUUAUUAAUGGAAGUCAUUUGGAAAGCCUAUGAAAGGGCUUUCCAUCCCCUCUAAUAUGUAUCCUUUAGUAAGAAAGAAAUUUCUCCAUUCUCUCAUUUUCUCAACUCUUUUCUCUGAUUCUUUCCCCUCAUUAUAUAUAUUGUUAGAGUAAUAUAUAAUUUAUCUCUACUUUGAGUUGCGUUGCAUUUAUCCUCGUUUUAUAACAUAUAUCAAUUUAUAUUUAUUUUUUAAAUAGCAUUAUUUUGGUUAAAAACUUCAACCACCAAGUAAGGGCCAUUGGGUUCCUAAGCUACAAAUUGAGACUAAAACAUUCAUAAAAACAUAUUUGACAUGCCAGACAUGCGUGGACAAAUUGAAUACAUGUGGUAGAAAGGAGAUUAGGAGAGUUUGUAUCAUUUUUAGAGUGUGUUUGGUAGUGAUUCGGAGAAAUAUUUUUAGUUUUUCUAACAUUUAAAAAAUUUAUUUUUUAAGUAUAAAAAAGGUUAUAAACAUUUUCAAAAUCAUUGCCAAAUACACUCAUACUUAAAAGAAAAUUGAAAAAAAAAGAGAGAAAAAAAAUAAGAAAAAGAAAAAACAAUAUUGAAUGUAAAGAAAAAGUUAUGAAUAAUCAACGAAAGUGGAUAUCUUGAUAGUUUGUUUUCAAAAUAUUUAUUAAAAAUAAUUAAAAUUUUGUAUAUUUUAACAUCAAAUGUUUGCAUUUGACCAUCUCAUAUUCUAUGAAAGUGUAUGAAAUUUUGAUUAUUUUUAUAAAAUUUUCAUUUUUAUGAUUUUUAUUUUAAAUGUGCGUAAAGAAACACACUUUUUCGAGGUUAGGAUGAUUCAUUCUAAGCCCCUUCUAUCCUUCCUGGUUAUAAUUAACACAAAUUAUUUUUUUAUCAAUAUUUUAUUAUAAUUAUUUAUUUCAUGUAGAAAUAUGUAUGCUAAAUAUGACUUAUAAUUGGUAAAUAUAUUUAAAUAUGUUUAAAUUUUGUUAGAUUUAUCAUUAUUAAAAUUAAUUCAUCUUAAUUUAAUCUUGGAUCUAUUGUUACUAUGAAUAAUGAUCAUUAGUUUGGUAUUAAACAUAAUAUAAUAAGUUAAAAUAAUAUUUUUAUCUUCAUAUUAGUAUUUAAUAUUUAUUUUCAAACUCAUGUUUUGAUAAUUUCAAUAAUUUUAUUGCACAAAUAUUUUAUUUUCUUACUAGAAAACUAGUUUAAUAUGUUAUUAUUAAUUAUUUUAUUGCUUUUUAAAGUUUCAUAAAAGGUUUCCAUAUUUUUAAUCAAGUCGUGGGAUUUUUUCUUUUUUCAAUUUUUAAUGAAAUUUUAUGGAAUAAUGAAUAUUUUUAUAGAUAUUUCCUUAAAACUAACUUGUUUAUAUUUUCGCAAAUAUUGAUAUUUUCAUUUGGCCAAUUUUUUUAUUCUUACAUUUAUUUUCUCACGAAAUAUUGAAACUAACAAAUUACUGCAUUAUAUACUUAGGAUUUUAAAAUUGCUUUACAGUAUUGGUCCCAAAAAGCAAAACUUAAAAAAGGCAAACUAUAAAAUAUGUCUUCAUAUACUAAGUUAUAUUAAUGACAGAAUUAAUAAAUGGGUUUCUAUUUGAAUUCUCGCUUGAUAAAUUAACCUUAUUCAUCAUGACUUGUAUUUUGUAAUUGUGAAUGAAAAUCAAAUUUAUUGGAUACUAUAAAUUAACUUAUAAAAUUAUAAGAUCACAAAAUGAUCGGCCUUUCAAAUUUCAUUUCUACUGAUCUCCAUCAGCAUAAUUCUCAAUAAAAUUUACAUACAUUUAUAUUAGUUUAUAUAAAAGUUUAGAAAAAUAUUAAUUAAUGAAUUAAUUAAUUACUUUUACUAACAUUUUUAACAUAUAAAAGGAAUGAUGGUUUGAUCUAACCAAACUUUAUAAAUCUGAAAAAAAACCUAUAAAUACCAAAAUGUCGUCAACAAUUUCGAAAAAUGCUUCUAUACUAGGAGCCCAAAUCUUGAGGAAAUAAACACAACAUUUCACAAUUUUUUCAUCCCUGCCUAUGACCCACAUUUUAUUCUUUAAUUUUCUCCAAUAUCUCAAUUUAGUUUCAUAAUUUGCACACAAUUGUUUUUUUUUGGUUAUUAUAGUUGAUCAUAAAAUGAAAAACACUAAUAUUAAAAUAUAAGUAAUUGAAUUCUCAUACAAAAAUGAUGAUUUUUAAUAAAAAUGUGUUGCAUGUGAGACUUUUUAUGAUAAGAACAAAUCUACAUGAUCAUGCAUGUUUUAUUUGUGUAAAAUCAUUAUCAUAAAUUUAUAUUGACUCUACAAAGUUAUUUUGGUACCAUGUUCAAUUUUGAACAUGAUAGACAAUACUUCUAAUUAAUUAUAAAAGAGAUUAAUUUUCUUGUAUUACCAAUUUUUUUCCUUCAACCUAAUAAUCAUCUUCAUUCUUUGGUACCAUAUUCAAUUUUGAGUACUUGAAUUGGAAUCUCAUUAUAUUGACUAUAGUUCUUAUCAAUAAUAAUUUGCAUUUUAAAAAGUUUCAUGAAGAUUAUCUUUUUAUCUGGCAUGAGUUUUUCAUGAAAUUCCUAUCAAAUUCCUAUUAAAUUAUAAAAGUACAAAUUGCAUGCACUCCACCUAUCUCUAUAAAUAGCCAUAUUCAGAGUAAAUUUUGAUUGUUUGUUUGCCUUUUAGUUGACUUUUUUUUUUUUUUUUUCCUUUUUUACUUUUAUAUCUAUUUUUUAAAAAUUAAAAACUUAUUUAAUAUAAUUAGCUAGUAAAUGAAUAAUUUAUUAAAAUUUUUUAAAAUACCAUGUUUCAUUAUUCCAUCUACAUGGUAUUCUAAGUGAACUCAACCUAUAUGACAUGAAAACAUGGAAGAAAAAUAUAGAUUUGAUUGGUAUAAGUCCUUGGAGAAAGUUGCUUUGGAUUAAUUGAAUCUUUACACUUUUUUCAUAUUUAAUGUAUUUAAUAUGUUAUUGAUUAAAUCUAUGAUUUUAAACCUACAAAAACUUUUAGAAAUGAUUUGAACAUGGAUCAAGUCUCCUUUGAUUUUCCAAUAUUUUUAUUUUCUAAAGAUAAAUUUUCAACCUUGUGGAGUUAAAUGAUAACCAAAAACUUGAUUUUGAGAGGAAUAAAAUCUACAUUUUUAUGAUAAAAGUUGAACAAAGUAUGGUCUUAAUAAUAACCAAUAAACUUGAGUUCAAUGUAAAUAAAUAUAAAUUACUUAUUCCCUCUUUUAAGUAGCUUCAUGCAUCUAUAACGUGUUAUCAAUUUUCAUAAUUUUAUUUCAAAGUCCAAAUGUUCCAAAUACGAUUUUGCACAAAUACUAGAAAAUUUACAAUUUAAAAAGGAUUUACUUGACUUCACUUAAAAUCUACAAAAAUCCAUGAACUUUCACUAUUAUUAUAAAAAAAUUACAAUUCUAAAACCCUCAAAUAUCAAGCUGCCUUUACAUAUAAAAAGGACCCCUCUCUAUUACAAAAUCUCUUUUUAUACUUUUCAAAUAUCUCAUAUAAAAUAUUAAUUGGAUAAAUAUUUAUAAAAGAUCUAAUAUUAGAAAAUUUUCAAAAAAGAAUAUUUAGGAAAAUCUUACAAAAGUAUAUCCAAAUAAAAAAAAAUGAAAGAUUAAUUAUAAAUUCACAAGAAUAUGAGACACAAAGUAAAGGGGAAAUCCAAACUAAAUAAUUAAGAGUGUGUUUGGUAGUGAUUUUAAGAAGUGUUUCUAAAUUUUAUAACAAUUGAAAGUUUUCAUCAUUCAAGUAUUAUAAAGCCGAAAAACACUUUCUAUAAUCAUUGUCAAACGCACUCUAAGUACGUCAAAACAUUGAGAGUUAAACCUGACUCCCAACAAUGAGCAUAAUGAUGUUUGUGAAGGAUUAAUAGUAAACUUAGUCUUCUGCAAGCCUUCAAGGAUUAUGGAGUUAUACACUUUUUCUGUAAUGAUCCAUAUUUAAUAAUGUAGAUAUUAUUUGCUCAAAGGGAUUCUCACGUCUUUAAAACUUGUCUACAAGUUAAAAGGAACCCAUACAUAUAUAGACUUGAUAAUUUUCUUCCUUAUCUGAUAUAGAAUAUCACAAAUACUCUCAUAUUGAUUUAACAUUUUUGUUAUGUUUUAUGGGAUUACGAGAUCAAAUAGACAAACACCCUGGGCCAAACAAACCCUUACAUCAGGGUUGGAAAUCGGUAUUUUAAAGCUGUGAGGCCCCUUUGGAUAAAAAACGGACAAUAUCUAUAUGAUUGAAAGUGGGCGUUACACAUUUUGUUGCCUUCUUUGCCUAGAAAAGGUAAGGGAUAGAAUUUCAAUGAAGUGCAGAAAGAGAACAAAAAAAGUGAAGACGAAAGUAGGGAAAGACUGCUUUACUUCCAGCUCCCAGUUAGUUCUCAGGGUGAUGGUGAGAAGAGAGAGCAUUAGACUAUGAGUGCACAUAUGAUACCCCACCAGAGCCCCUAUUAAUUUGAAGCAUUUUUAGCAGACCAGUUUCAUGAAAAAUCUGUUGCUUGACAAAAAGCAUAAAGCUAGUUAAAAAUGGAGAUGAGUGGUGAACUUUUACCUUGUCUCCAUUGUGGAAGACGAAAGCUAAUAAAAUAGCAGAAGGAAUUCCCACAAGAUAAUACGAUCCUAGAUUGAUAAAGGCACCAAUCUUCUGCCAACCACAUCCUCUACCAGUGCCUAAAUGUUAAUGCAUGAUGAACAAAUAAAUUAGCUGCUGCAGACAAUACUUAUGAUAGGGAAAAAUAUGAUAUGUAUUUCUUUUAAUAUCGAAGAAAUUAAUGCCAGGAGCAGUAUGACGAGUACUGCUAAACAUGCAGCUUGUAGAUGCCCUGCCUCGAGUUCAUUUGAAACAUGAGUGCUAUACAGAGAGAAAGAAUCGGUUUAAAAGUACAUAUUCAAUGUUGAAGGCUUGUUUUGAAUUUACAUUUGAACAUCUAAUCCACAUGGGAUGGAAGUCCUAGCUGUUAGAGAUGAGCUUCCAAUAAUGUUAAAUGUUCAGUUUAGAACGACUGAGUAUCUCCUGGCUUCACCGAGUCCACAGGGGAUCAUCCAAACUGUUCCAGCUGUAUGGAGGCUAGACAAUGGAUUUGUAUUAGAGAAAUUAUUAAAAGUCCAUGGAAAUCAAGAAAAUCUUGGAAAGGAAGAUGAAUGACAUACUGAUUCAGAGCUCACGUGAUUGAAAGCACUGCAGUCUCCAAAUUCGGAUUAGGAAGGAGACCAGAUAGGAGGAGCAUCAUCUCUAAUGACCACCACUCCAUAUUGUUCAACAAUACACAUUUCAAUAGUAGGAAAAGAAACGAUAAAAUAAAAGGCAAAUUCAGAAUUUCUGACUUGUUAGGAAUGUAAGGCAGUUGUAAAACUCUGGCAUUCUUUUCACUUCCCUUUUGUUGUCUUCUUGACAACCAAAUGAAGUAUUAAUAAAUGGGGGCUAAGACCAUAACAGCCGAAGGAAUUACAACUCUAUUCCUUCACGGAAUCAUGUAUUACCAAAUGAAGUAUUAAGAAGGAAAGAGAAAACCUCUAACCUGCAACCAUCCAACGUAUCAUGUAUUACCAAGAGUAAACUGAGCUUCCCAAUUAUGAGCUUCUUAUAAUAAAAAUAUGAGAUUUGCGGAGUGCUUGGCAUUUUUUUUUUUCUUGUUAAUCCUUAUCAGUUUAUUAAAAUUUGCGUAUUAAAAAUAACGUGAAAGAUAGGGUUGCCAUAUGAAGAGAUCAUUUUGGGAGCUUACUCAAACCUUCUCAUCAAGGUUAAAUGCUUAAAUUGGAUUAAAAACUAUGAAGACAUUUUUCGCACAUGGAAAUAAGGAAUAAGAAGAGAGAAUUCAUAGAAAUUCUCAUUUAUUAUUGUGUUUGCAUUACUUGAAGAGAAGGGGAUGGGUCUUGUUUAAUUAAUUAAAUAAUUUAAUUUUUUAAACUCCUACUCGUUUAAUUUUUUGUUUUUAAAAAAUUUAAUUAUAUUAAAAAUUGUGACAAAGCAAUAUCCCAAGUGUCACAAACUUGCUUGCUUGCCUUUUUUUUUUUUUUUUUUUUAAAUUUUAAAUUUAAAUUUAUCUUAAACCAUUUAUUUUUAUCUAAAUCCUUCUCAUAAGAUAGAGUUGGAUGCUUAAAAAAAAAAAAUCCCUUUUCACCCCUAAAAAUAAAAAUAAAAAUAGAAAUUAAAAUUCAUUUUAAUAAAAAUAAAAAAACUAUUUCUGUUAGGAUUUUUAUUGAUCCUACAUUCUAAUUUACUUCUAUUGUCAUUCUCAUUCCUAUAUGAGAAUCUAAAAACAAAAAUAAAAAUAAUGGUUGGGUAUGUGAAAAUAUGGAAAAUAAUUUUAUUUUUUUAAUUUUAUUUAUUUAUUUCUUACUCAUACAAUACACAUUGAGUACCGGUCUCAUUCUUACUCUUAUAUAGCAAACACAAUCUCAAAAAAAAAAAAAUAAGAACAAUAUUUGAAAUAUGAAAAAAAAAAAAACAAAAUUUUAGAAUCCAAUCAACCAAAAUAAGAAUUAUGUUCAAAAUAUAUGAAAGAAAACAAAAUUUUAGGAUCCAAUCAAGAUAGAUAUUUUUGCAAUAUUACAUGGUAGAUACUUUAUGAUAACAUUUUCUUAAUCCUCGUACUAUUUUCAUUAAUUAACUUGCCUUUUCCUUUUUAUCAAGGGAGAUAAUGAAAAAACUUUUACAUCAAAGUAAUAAUAGCAUAAAAGAAAAAUGAGAAUAAUGUAAUCAUGCAUCAUUUAAAACAAAAAAAUUAAUUUUUUUUAGAACUUUGACUUUUCAUUUUCAAAGAAUAUGUAUUUUGGGAAAAAUAAUCCUUAAUACUCUUAAACAAUCAAAUUAAUCAUCAUUGUAAACUUACCCUCAAACUCCUCUUCUCUUACCCCCACCAACUAUCACUUUCUUUGUUUGUCAUUUUAAAAAAAAAAUAUUUUGACAAGACAAAUGAGUUAUCAUUACUAUUAUUUUUUUUUUUAAAACAUAACUUUUUGACACAUGACAAUUACCAUACGUUAUGAUUUUUUUUUCUCCUCCUCUAUAAUAUCUCUAUCUUCAUUUUGCUUUUGUUUUUUAAAAUAUGUUAGCUUGAUGAAUUCUUUUCAAUUUCAAUUUUUUUUUAAUAUUUCAUCUUUUUAUAUUUAUUAAUUUUAAUUAUUUAUGGACAUUUUAAACAUAAAAUAAUAAUAUAUAAUAAAUAAUUAAUGAUAAUAAAUUUAAUAUACAAAUAAAUACAUGAUAAACAAAUUUAAAGAUUUAGAACAUAAAUUUUUCUAAUGUUUAAUAUUUUUAAUCAAAUAAUAUGAAAAUUUGGUUGUGAUUCUAACAUUUUGUUUUAUUAAUUUUUUUUAAUUUUUAAUUUAUAUUUUUCAUAAAAAAAUGUAUUUAAUUGGUUAUAUUAAUUUUUUUUAAUUUUAUUUUAUUUUUGUAUAGUGAUACUACGCAUUGAUCAACAUAACCAUAAAAAAGUAUCAUUCUUUUAUGAAAAAUGUAUUACUCUUUUAUGAAAAAAACACCAUUUUUUUAAUUAAAAUAAAAAGUAACAGUAAAAUAUGUUACUUUUAACACACGGUACUUUUAAUAUAUUGUAGAAUUACUUUUUUUUCUUUUAUUAUUAUUAUAAAAGAGUGGUAUUUUCUUUUUUGAAAGUUAUGUUUAUUAAUGCGCAACUUCAUCAUAAUUUUUUAAAUUUUUUUUUAAAUAAAUUUAAAAGAAAUUAAACAUAAAUGAUGAAAUAUAAUUUUUAUGAAAAAUAUAUUUUAUUUUUAUUAAAAUUUUAGAAUUUUAAUAAAGCAAAAUGUUUGAACCACAACCAAGUUUUUUAUUUUUUUUUAAAUAAAAAUAUUAAACAUUUUAACUACAAAAAAAAGUUAAAACUACAUUCAAGUAAGAAUUGUAAGCAAAAAGUUAAAAAACAUGAUAAUUGAUUUUCAAUUUCACAUGAAAAUUUAAAAUUUUUUAAAAAUAGAAACAAUAAAAUAAUAUGAUAAAAGUAUUUUUAUUUAAUCUAUAAUAAGAUAUAUCAAAUAAAUAAAUAUUUUAUUUAAUAUGAUAUAUAAAAUCUUAUAUUCUAAACCUCUUAGUACAUUAAUUUUUUCUCAUUCAUUAUUUAUCAUAUACUAUCAUUGUUAUUAUUAUUAUGAUUAUGAUUGUUAUAUAUUUAAAGUGUUUCUAAAUAAUUAAAUUGAUAACUAUGAAAAGGUGUAAGAGUGAAAAAAACGAAAAUUUAAAAAAUAUUGAUUAUUUUCUAGAUAAAAUGAAGAAAAAAGAAAAAUAAUGUGGCAAUUUGAUUAGUUACAUGUCAACCUUAAAAGUAAUUGACAUCUUUUAACUUGUUAUUUCAAGGGGUUUUUUUUUUAAAGAAGGAUAAAGGAAUAAAAGGAGUUACUAUUUGUAUACAUGUUCAUUGGAUUACUUUUUAAAAGUUCUUAAAUAUUCUAUAUUUUAUAAGUAAUGAACCUUUACAUAGUUUACCCAAAGAAAAAUCCUUUUCAACAAGGGAGAGGAAUGAAGAAACUUAUACAUCAAAGUAAUAAUAGCAUAAAAGAACAAAGUUCAGAUAUGCAUUACUAUUUGAUAAUACUUGUAACUUACAUUUUGUUGUUCAAUUUCCUCCAAUAUUUCAAUUUAGUCUUAUACUAUAGCUGACCAUAAAAUGAGAACUCUAAUAUUGCAAUAUAAGUAGUUGAAUUGUGACAUAAAAAGAGUGAUUUUAAUAAAAAUGUUUUGCAUGUGAGACCUUUUAUGAUAAGAAGGAAUCUAUAUGAUCACGCAUGCAUGUUUUAUUGAUGUAAAAAACUCAAUUUUGUUGACUCUAACAAGUUUUUUUGGUACCAUGUUCAUUGAACACCACCAAAAAGAUUUGAUUAAAAUGCAUGAUUAACAAUACUUCUAAUUAAUUAUAAAGCAAUAAAUUUUCAUGUACAGUACAUUUUUUUUCCUUCAAUGUAAUAAUUAUCUUGAAUUUUUGGUACCAUAUUCAAUUUUGAGUUCUUGAAUUGGAAUUUCAUUAUACCGACUUUACUUCUUAUGGAUAAUAAUUUGCAUUUUGAAAGAGUUUUCAUGGAGAUUAUAUUUUAUCUCACAUGAAUUUGCCAUGAAAUUCGUAUCAAAUUGAUAUGUAACAUAAAAUUACAAAUUGCAUGUACCCCUCCUACAAAUAGCCCUAAAUUUAGACUGUGACUUUGAAUUCAUAUUCUUAUAAACAGAAUUCAUAGAUUCUUAAUAUGCAUAGAAAGAGAAUUAUUGAAUUUAAUGUAUAUUUCAGCUCAAUGCACUGUCUCAACAGGGAUUAUAGCGUCAUAGACUCUAUCUGUAGCCUUCUUUGCCUAUACAAAAAAGAGAGAAGACUUCAAUUGGAGGAGAAAAAAAGGAGACUCAAGCACUGAAAAUGAAAAGAAGGCAAGAAUGCUUUACUUCAUCCUCCCAGUUAGUGCGUAGGGUUAUGAUAAGAAGGGACGACACUUGAACUAUGAGCCCACAUAUAAUCCCCAACCAGAGGCCCUAAUCCAAACAUUUUAACAGACAAGAUUACAUGAAAUCACUUGCUUCAAGUUAAUUGGAGACGACAAAAAACGUAUUCUAGUAAAAGGGAGAAUGGUGAACUCUUACCCUUCCUUCAAUGUGGAAGACAAAAGCUAAUAAAAUAGCACAUGGAAUUCCCACAAGAUAAUAUGAUCCUAGAUUGACAAAGGCACCAAUCUUCUGCCAACCGCAUCCUCUAGCAGUGCCUAAAUGUUCAUGAACAAUAAAAUCAGCCGCUACAGUCUACAUUCAAGUUCUGCAGAAGAUCAUCUUCAAUAUUCCAUUCAGUUGAUGGAGAUUAUAUUCUAAGUGCAAAGUGAUUGUGUUUUUUGUGACAACAAAAAUGUGUUUUGUUUAGUGGUAAAUGUUGACAUUACUUCAAAUAUUGAGUAAUGAGCAAAAACAUUAUCAAAUAAAAGGUGGUGGUUUGUCUGUUUUCUUAUGGUCUGGAGUCUUAAAGAAAUGGAUGAUAAUUAUAUUAGUAGUAGAUGAAAGUCGAGAAAACCUGAAAGAACACACUGCAUUCCAUCUAGGAAGUUGGAUAAUGCAAGAAUUGGCAUCAUGGCUGCUACAUAUGUGACCACUUCUAUUUCAUUGCUGUAGGCAUAGCCCCAGAUGUUCCUUAUCAAUAUCAGAAGUAGUCCAAUGAGAGUGCCUUCAGCUAGGGCCAUGACUAAGACGACAAAUACUGCUAAACGUGCAGCUUGUGGAUGCCCUGCCCCAAGUUCAUUUGAGACCCUUGUGCUGUACAGAGAAAUGAAGAAUACAUGCAUCAAAUCAAAGUUGUGGGAGGCAUGGUUUUGAGUUUCCAUUACAAAAUCAAGUUCACUUGUGGUUGAAAUCAAGAUGAUACCCUACAAAUUAAUUAGUUGACUUUUUUGUAAACCAAGUAUGGGAAUUUUGGCUCUGAAUCAAGUCCUAGCCGUUAAUGAUAAAAAGUUGAAUGUUGAAUACAUGUUCAAUUUAGACCGACUUACCUCACAGCUCCACUGAGUCCAAAGGGGAUCAUCCAAACUGUUGCAGCAGUAUAAAGGCUGGGAAACAAAUGUGUUCCACUAAGAUCAGACUAUAAUGUGGGGUUGUACAUAAGAAAUCAAUAAAACUCAAUGGAAAUCAAGAAAAUCCUAAGAAAUGAAGACAGAUAAUGUUGGGAUUCAACACUCACCAGAUCGAAAGCACUGAAGUCUGUAACUUUGGAUUAGGAAGGAGACCAGAUAGAAGAACCAUCAGCUCAAAUGACCACAUUUCCAAGCUGUUCAAUUUUAUGGAAAUAAACUGCAUUAAAAUCUUUAGACACAUUGAAUACAAAUCACGAUAAUGAGACUGUUUCAUAGUGGAGGAAGAUAAAAUGAAUUUUCCAGAUGUUUUUGUUAUCUUCUUGAAAGCAUAAGAAAUGGAAAUUUACCAGACCAUAACAGCAGAAGGAAUAGCAAGUCUAAGAAAACUAGGGAUAUUAUGCAGGGCCUCCUUUGAAAAUCCAGUCCUAGUUUUCGAGCAAGAAGAAGAGAAUUUAACAUAUAGUGCCAGCAAUAAAACAUUUAUCCAACAGGAGAUGCUAUUUGCCAAAGCAGCCCCUUUACUUCCGAGGCCAGAUUUGAAAACCAGAAACCAGCACACCAGAACAUGCAGUAAGGUUGUGAUUCCAGAGCUCAGCAUCAUUGGGAAGACUAUGUUUUGGGUUUGCAAGAAUCUGACAAGGCACUGAAGGAGGCCAUAGGCAAAGAGGCUCGGGAUCAUGAAACGGGCAUAAAGUUCGGCUUCUUGUGAUAUCUCAGGAUCUUGGCCCACGGCCAUUAGAAUGGUUCCUGUAUAUGCCCAAAUGGUAGCAAGAGGUAUGCUAACAAUUAGAAGAAUAAGCAUGGCCCUCUGCAUGUGUAUACUGAGCAUAUGAUAUUGCUUUGCUCCAUAGGACUGCCCACAUAAGGUAUCCAAUGCACUUGCCAUCCCCA